RNAcentral lists this ribosomal RNA (429 nucleotides) under Actinomycetes bacterium. RNAcentral's name for it is "Actinobacteria bacterium partial 16S ribosomal RNA". It matches the Rfam family "Bacterial small subunit ribosomal RNA", at positions 355 to 776 of the family's 1533-position model. Lineage: Bacteria; Bacillati; Actinomycetota; Actinomycetes. The record is from RNAcentral.
UAGGGAAUCUUCCGCAAUGGGCGAAAGCCUGACGGAGCAACGCCGCGUGAGUGAUGAAGGUCUUCGGAUCGUAAAACUCUGUUAUUAGGGAAGAACAAAUGUGUAAGUAACUAUGCACGCCUUGACGGUACCUAAUCAGAAAGCCACGGCUAACUACGUGCCAGAAGCCGCGGUAAUACGUAGGUGGCAAGCGUUAUCCGGAAUUAUUGGGCGUAAAGCGCGCGUAGGCGGUUUUUUAAGUCUGAUGUGAAAGCCCACGGCUAAACCGUGGAGGGUCAUUGGAAACUGGAAAACUUGAGUGUAGAAGAGGAAAGUGGAAUUCCAUGUGUAGCGGUGAAAUGCGCAGAGAUAUGGGGGAACACCAGUGGCGAAGGCGACUUUCUGGUCUGUAACUGACGCUGAUGUGCGAAAGCGAGGGGAUCAAACAGG